Molecule: transfer RNA, 84 nt
Filed under: Acidobacteriota bacterium
Lineage: Bacteria; Pseudomonadati; Acidobacteriota
Also listed under: 1 other name
Description: Acidobacteria bacterium tRNA-Ser
Rfam family: tRNA
About the family: Transfer RNA (tRNA) molecules are approximately 80 nucleotides in length. Their secondary structure includes four short double-helical elements and three loops (D, anti-codon, and T loops). Further hydrogen bonds mediate the characteristic L-shaped molecular structure. tRNAs have two regions of fundamental functional importance: the anti-codon, which is responsible for specific mRNA codon recognition, and the 3' end, to which the tRNAs corresponding amino acid is attached (by aminoacyl-tRNA synthetases). tRNAs cope with the degeneracy of the genetic code in two manners: having more than one tRNA (with a specific anti-codon) for a particular amino acid; and 'wobble' base-pairing, i.e. permitting non-standard base-pairing at the 3rd anti-codon position.
Source: RNAcentral
GGGGCGGUGGUGUAGAGAAACACAGCGGCUUGCUACCUUUCGCAUGGGCCGAAGAUGCAGGUUCGACGCCUGCCCGCUCCACCA